CAACCCUUAAGCCCCUGUUGCUUAGCGUUGGGAAUCUACCCUGUACAAGGGGUAGUUCCUGAAAACCAGUGGCGGUGUUAGGUACACUCGUAGCGUAGUAAUUUGUUCUCGCUUCUGCAGUGGCCCUGGCUACCGGCCGUAAAACCCCUAAAUUUUCUAAUGG
Molecule: unclassified non-coding RNA, 163 nt
Filed under: uncultured Hypoxylon
Lineage: Eukaryota; Fungi; Ascomycota; Sordariomycetes; Xylariales; Xylariaceae
Description: sequence contains ITS2
Source: RNAcentral